This 378-nucleotide ribosomal RNA is filed under the name uncultured bacterium. Its description in RNAcentral is "bacterial SSU rRNA". It matches the Rfam family "Bacterial small subunit ribosomal RNA", at positions 28 to 416 of the family's 1533-position model. The record is from RNAcentral.
GACGAACGCUGGCGGCGUGCUUAACACAUGCAAGUCGAACGGGGUGUAGCAAUACAUCUAGUGGCGGACGGGUGAGGAAUACAUAGGAAUUUGCCCUUAAGUGGGGGAUAGUCCGGGGAAACUCGGUUUAAUACCGCAUGAUCUCGUGAGAGCAAAGCAGGGGACCGCAAGGCCUUGCGCUUUUGGAGAAGCCUAUGUCGGAUUAGCUAGUUGGUAGGGUAAUGGCCUACCAAGGCAACGAUCCGUAACUGGUCUGAGAGGAUGAUCAGUCACACCGGAACUGAGACACGGUCCGGACUCCUACGGGAGGCAGCAGUGGGGAAUAUUGGACAAUGGGCGCAAGCCUGAUCCAGCAAUGCCGCGUGUGUGAAGAAGGCC